Long non-coding RNA from Carassius auratus (goldfish), 759 nucleotides. RefSeq lists it as uncharacterized. The record is from RefSeq and is a predicted model, not a curated record. NCBI's taxonomy places the organism in Eukaryota, Metazoa, Chordata, Actinopteri, Cypriniformes, Cyprinidae. The transcript has 6 exons.
CAAAAACCGUUACUGGCAAGCAGUAAUCUCCGUCUCUCGCUGCAGUUUACACUGUUUUGGGAGGACAGAAAGAAACUCUACAGAACAGAAGUGAAGCUCCAAGAUUUCAACAUUUAUGAAGGGAGAUUCUGACUUAGAAAUACAGCUUGUUUCCUUCUAAUGAACCUGGAACUGCAGAGUAAAUAUUGUUGACUCUGUGUCAGAUUGCUUGUUUUGUUCCUAGACUCUUCAGUGAUGACGAUCAGAGUCUGAGUGAACCUGCUGUCAGACAGGUUGGCCUGAUUGACGAUGCCACCGUCCAUCGCCGAUGGCUGAUAGACAUCACGAUGCUGCGCCGGAAACAGCGUCAUCAGCUCCAGUAUCUCGCCCGUGCAUCUGUUGUCAUGCGACAGAGAAGUCACGUUCUAUAGACAGUUUCUAUAGACAGUUGUGAACGUGCUGACAGCUGGUUGCCCAGGCUACGGAUUAAAGGUAAUACUGUUGGCCAGCAGAGCCCUGCUCACCCUGACGGCCCACCGCUGCUGUCAGACAAUAUCUCCAAGAUGCUAUAAACUGCAGGACCAGUAAGGACAAUCUUGAACAUGCACAACUGUUUCAUAAGUUUGGGAAGGAUGUCAAUCCCAAGGUUUCUAGAGAUUACAGCAGCUCCAGACUGAAUCCAAACUCACUUUUGAAGACUUCAGAUGACGCCAACGCUCACAAAGACUACAGACGACGACAACUGUACAUGAACACACAAGAUCUUAUCCUUAUUUUGCC